UUUUCAGUAGCUCAGGGGCAGAGCGGAUGGCUGUUAACCAUUAGGACGGUGGUUCAAAUCCAUCCUGAAAAG
Molecule: transfer RNA, 72 nt
Filed under: Lithodesmium undulatum
Lineage: Eukaryota; Bacillariophyta; Thalassiosirophyceae; Lithodesmiales; Lithodesmiaceae
Description: tRNA-Asn
Rfam family: tRNA
About the family: Transfer RNA (tRNA) molecules are approximately 80 nucleotides in length. Their secondary structure includes four short double-helical elements and three loops (D, anti-codon, and T loops).
Source: RNAcentral